AUUUCCGCCUGCGCCGAUUUGAGGAACAGCUUGCGGGCGCGUUAAAAAUACAGCUAAAGCGGGUGAACCCGGUUUAGC
Non-coding RNA from Ferriphaselus amnicola, 78 nucleotides. Lineage: Bacteria; Pseudomonadati; Pseudomonadota; Betaproteobacteria; Nitrosomonadales; Gallionellaceae. The record is from Rfam.